CCUACGGGGGGCAGCAGUGGGGAAUAUUGCGCAAUGGGCGAAAGCCUGACGCAGCGACACCGCGUGAGGGAUGAAGGUCUUCGGAUCGUAAACCUCUUUCAGCAGGGAAGAACGGUCACUGUGCUAAUCAGCAGUGAAUUGACGGUACCUGCAAAGUAAGCACCGGCUAACUCCGUGCCAGCAGCCGCGGUAAUACGGAGGGUGCGAGCGUUAAUCGGAAUUACUGGGCGGAAAGCGCUCGUAGGCGGUAUGUCAAGUCAAGGGUGAAAUCCCCGCGCUCAACGUGGGAACUGCCUUUGAAACUGGCAAACUGGAGUGUGUGAGAGGAUAGUGGAAUUCCAGGUGUAGGAGUGAAAUCCGUAGAUAUCUGGAGGAACAUCAGUGGCGAAGGCGACUAUCUGGAACAUAACUGACGCUGAGGAGCGGAAGCGUGGGUAGCAAACAGGAUUAGAUACCCUUGUAGUC
RNAcentral lists this ribosomal RNA (465 nucleotides) under uncultured bacterium. RNAcentral's name for it is "partial 16S ribosomal RNA". It matches the Rfam family "Bacterial small subunit ribosomal RNA", at positions 338 to 795 of the family's 1533-position model. The record is from RNAcentral.